Molecule: ribosomal RNA, 300 nt
Filed under: uncultured Hyphomonadaceae bacterium
Lineage: Bacteria; Pseudomonadati; Pseudomonadota; Alphaproteobacteria; Hyphomonadales; Hyphomonadaceae
Description: bacterial SSU rRNA
Rfam family: Bacterial small subunit ribosomal RNA
Source: RNAcentral
GCGUGGCAACCUACCUUUCAGUAAGGGACAACAGUUGGAAACGACUGCUAAUACCUUAUACGUCCUCCGGGAGAAAGAUUUAUCGCUGAUAGAUGGGGCCGCGUUAGAUUAGCUUGUUGGUGAGGUAAUGGCUCACCAAGGCGACGAUCUAUAGCUGGUCUGAGAGGAUGAUCAGCCACACUGGGACUGAGACACGGCCCAGACUCCUACGGGAGGCAGCAGUGGGGAACUAUUGGACAAUGGGCGAAAGCCUGAUCCAGCAACGCCGCGUGAAUGAUGAAGGCCUUAGGGUUGUAAAAU